UACGGAGGGUGCGAGCGUUGUCCGGAAUCACUGGGCGUAAAGGGCGCGUAGGCGGCGCGGGUAGUCAUCGGUGAAAGUUCAAGGCUCAACUCUGAAUCGGCCGGUGAUACUCCCGUGCUCGAGCACUGUAGAGGCAGGUGGAAUUCCGGGUGUAGCGGUGGAAUGCGUAGAGAUCCGGAAGAACACCGGUGGCGAAGGCGGCCUGCUGGGCAGUAGCUGACGCUGAUGCGCGACAGCGUGGGGAGCAAACAGG
RNAcentral lists this ribosomal RNA (253 nucleotides) under uncultured bacterium. Its description in RNAcentral is "partial 16S ribosomal RNA". It matches the Rfam family "Bacterial small subunit ribosomal RNA", at positions 524 to 776 of the family's 1533-position model. The record is from RNAcentral.